This 72-nucleotide transfer RNA is filed under the name Candidatus Woesearchaeota archaeon. RNAcentral's name for it is "tRNA-Lys". It matches the Rfam family "tRNA". From Rfam's summary of the family: Transfer RNA (tRNA) molecules are approximately 80 nucleotides in length. Their secondary structure includes four short double-helical elements and three loops (D, anti-codon, and T loops). RNAcentral also lists the same sequence under 2 other names. The record is from RNAcentral. Lineage: Archaea; Nanobdellati; Candidatus Woesearchaeota.
GGGCCCUUAGCUCAGCGGUAGAGCACCUCACUCUUAAUGAGGUGGUCGAGGGUUCAAAUCCCUCAGGGCCCG